CAACUCGCCUACACGAAGCUGGAAUCGCUAGUAAUCGCGGAUCAGCACGCCGCGGUGAAUACGUUCCCGGGCCUUGUACACACCGCCCGUCACACCAUGAGAGUCUGUAACACCCAAAGCCGGUGGGAUAACCUUUAUAGGAGUCAGCCGUCUAAGGUAGGACAGAUGAUUAGGGUGAAGUCGUAACAAGGUAAC
This 195-nucleotide ribosomal RNA is filed under the name uncultured bacterium. RNAcentral describes it as "partial 16S ribosomal RNA". It matches the Rfam family "Bacterial small subunit ribosomal RNA", at positions 1308 to 1500 of the family's 1533-position model. The record is from RNAcentral.